This is a long non-coding RNA of Oncorhynchus keta (chum salmon), 3099 nucleotides long. RefSeq lists it as uncharacterized. Lineage: Eukaryota; Metazoa; Chordata; Actinopteri; Salmoniformes; Salmonidae. The record is from RefSeq and is a predicted model, not a curated record. The transcript is spliced from 3 exons.
ACUCUGUCCCACAGACCUACCGAUGUCCCCACACUCUGUCCCACAGACCUACCGAUGUCCCCACACUCUGUCCCAUAAACCUACCGAUGUCCCCACACUCUGUCCCAUAAACCUACUGAGAAACGAAGUUCAAACCACAUUUAAGUGGAUCUCACAUUUCCAGCCAUUUCUGAGAAGCACAGCGAGUGACUUUGCCGUUCCACUCUGGGUGCCAUUCCACUGAGUGGGUUGUGUGGGGUGACUAUCCCUAUGUUUAGCAAAGCACAUGUCAUCCAACAUCACACUCAACCACACCUGUGGAGAGGAGAGGAGGCAAGCUAGCAGCGCAUGUUGCCUUGGCAACGCUGAGAGCAGAGGGUCACUUCUAAUUAAAACAGAGAGGCAAUUAGAGAGGAACUGGGUGGCUGUUACCACAACCUCCUGGUUUAAUGGAGACAGACGGUAGAGCUGUGUCUGUGUGAGGAAGAAGGAAACUUCUGGCUGAGUCGCAUCUAGCCAGUAUGCUCGGGUCCUGGCUAAGAGUCCCAUCUAGCCAGUCUGCUCGGGUCCUGGCUAAGAGUCGCAUCUAGCCAGUCUGCUCGGGUCCUGGCUAAGAGUCCCAUCUAGCCAGUCUGCUCGGGUCCUGGCUGAGAGUCCCAUCUAGCCAGUCUGCUCGGGUCCUGGUUGAGAGUCCCAUCUAGCCAGUCUGAUCGGGUCCUGGCUGAGAGUCCCAUCUAGCCAGUCUGCUCGGGUCCUGGCCGAGAGUCCCAUCUAGCCAGUCUGUACUGGUCCUGGCUGAGAGUCCCAUCUAACCAGUCUGCUCGGGUCCUGGCUGAGAGUCCCAUCUAGCCAGUCUGCUUGGGUCCUGGCUGAGAGUCCCAUCUAGCCAGUCUGCUCGGGUCCUGGCUGAGAUUCCCAUCUAGCCAGUCUGCACUGGUCCUGGCUGGGAGUCCCAUCUAACCAGUCUGCUCGGGUCCUGGCUAAGAGUUCCAUCUAACCAGUCUGCUCGGGACCUGGCUGAGAGUCCCAUCUAGCCAGUCUGCUCGGGUCCUGGCUGAGAGUCCCAUCUUGCCAGUCUGCUCGGGUCCUGGCUGAGAGUCCGCGCGGGUCCUGGCUGAGAGUCCCAUCUAGCCAGUCUGCUCGGGUCCUGGCUGAGAGUCCCAUCUAGCCAGUCUGCUCGGGUCCUGGCUGAGAGUCCCAUCUAGCCAGUCUGCUUGGGUCCUGGCCGAGAGUCCCAUCUAGCCAGUGAGACAGGUGGGCACAAGGCAGUAAGCAGCCGUGCUUCACAUCUCACAAGAUUACUACAGCAUGUCAUAUUGAUGUGGUUCUGGAGACGUUAAACGCGGUCAGAUCUGAUCGCCUGUAUGCGUUUCCUAAGUCUGUCUUUAUCUCCAAGACUGUAUUGACGCUUUGCCUAUUUGAUGGUUCGACGCAGGGCAUAGCGAGAUUUCUUAUAAGCUUCCGGGUUAAGAGUCCCGCACCUUGAAAGCGGCAGCUCUACCCUUCAGCUCAGUGCGAAUGUUACCUGAAGUCCAUGGCUUCUGGUUGCGGUAUGUACGUACAGUCACUGUGGGGACGACGUCCUCAAUGCACUACUUGAUAAAGCCAGUGACUGAUGUGGUGUAUUCCACAAUGCCAUCGGUAGAAUCCCGGAACAUGUUCCAGUCUGUGUUAGCAAAACAGUCCUGUAGUUUAGCAUCAGCUUCAUCUGACCACUUUUUUAUAGACCGAGUCACUGGUGCUUCCUGCUUUAAUUUUUGCUUGUAAGCAGGAAUCAGGAGGAUAGAGUUGUGGUGGGAUUUACCAAAUGGAGGGCGAGGGAGAGCUUUGUACGCGUCUCUGUGUGUGGUGAUCAGGUGAUCUAGAUUUUUUCUCUCUCUCUGGUUGCACAUUUAACAUGUUGAUGGAAAUUUGGUAGAACUGAUUACAGUUUCCCCACAUUAAAGUCUCUGGCCACUAGGAGCGCCGCCUCUGGGUGAGUGGUUUCCUGUUUACUUAUUCCCUUAUACAGCUGACUGAGUGAGGUCUUAGUGCCAGCAUCUGUCUGUGGUGGUAAAUAUACAGCCACGAAAACUAUAGCUUUAAAACUCUCUAGGCAAGUAGUGUGGCUUGCAAUUUAUCACAAUAUACUCUACUUCAGGCGAGCAGAAUCUAGAGACUUCAUUAGAUUUCGUGCACCAGCUGUUUACAAAUACGCCCCCCUCGUUUUACCGGACUGUGCUGUUCUAUCUUUCCGGUGCAGCGUAUAUCCAUGUCGUCAUUCAGUCACUAUUCCGUGAAACAUAGGAUAUUAGUUUUUGAUGUCCCGUUGGUAGGAUAUUCGUGAUCGUACCUCGCCUAAUUUAUUGUCCAACGAUUGCACGUUGGCGAGUAGUAUUUAAGGUAAUGGCAGCUUUCCCACGCACCUUCUGCGGAUCCUCACAAGGCAUCCUGCUCGGUGUCCUCUGUACCUGCGUCUCUUCCUCUUGCAAAUAACGGGGGGGGGGAUGUUGGCCUUGUCGGGGGUUCGGAGAAUGUCCUGUUGCGUCUGCUUGUUGAAGAAAAAAAAUCUUUGUCUAAUCCGAGGUGAGUGAUCGCUGUCCUGAUAUCCAGAAGCUCUUUGUCUAAUCCGAGGUGAGUGAUCGCUGUCCUGAUAUCCAGAAGCUGUCUAAUCCGAGGUGAGUGAUCGCUGUCCUGAUAUCCAGAAGCUCUUUGUCUAAUCCGAGGUGAGUGAUCGCUGUCCUGAUAUCCAGAAGCUCUGUCUAAUCCGAGGUGAGUGAUCGCUGUCCUGAUAUCCAGAAGCUCUUUGUCUAAUCCGAGGUGAGUGAUCGCUGUCCUGAUAUCCAGAAGCUCUUUGUCUAAUCCGAGGUGAGUGAUCGCUGUCCUGAUGUCCAGAAGCUCUUUGUCUAAUCCGAGGUGAGUGAUCGCUGUCCUGAUAUCCAGAAGCUCUUUUUUUGCCGUAAAAUACAGUUGCAGAAACAUUAUGUACAAAAUAAGUUACAAAUAACGCGAGAGAAAAAAACACAUAACAGCACAAUUGGUUGGGCGCAAGUAAAAUUGCUGCCAUUACUUCCGGCGCCAUUUUUAAGUUCCAGAGUGAGUGUGAGUGUGUGUGAGUAUGUGCGUUCAUUCCCAGUGUCU